AGAAUCAACGCUGGCGGCGUGCCUAACACAUGCAAGUCGCACGAGAAAGGGUAGCAAUACCUGAGUAAAGUGGCGCACGGGUGAGUAACACGUGACUAACCUACCCUUGAGUGGGGAAUAACUUCGGGAAACCGAGGCUAAUACCGCAUAACACCUACGGGUCAAAGGAGCAAUUCGCUUAAGGAGGGGUCGCGGCAGAUUAGUUAGUUGGCGGGGUAAUGGCCCACCAAGACAGUGAUCUGUAUCCGGCCUGAGAGGGCGCACGGACACACUGGAACUGAAACACGGUCCAGACUCCUACGGGAGGCAGCAGUGGGAAUUUUGCGCAAUGGGGGAAACCCUGACGCAGCAACGCCGCGUGGAGGAUGAAGUCUCUUGGGACGUAAACUCCUUUCGAUCGGGACGAUAAUGACGGUACCGGAAGAAGAAGCCCCGGCUAACUUCGUGCCAGCAGCCGC
This 458-nucleotide ribosomal RNA is filed under the name uncultured bacterium. RNAcentral's name for it is "SSU rRNA". It matches the Rfam family "Bacterial small subunit ribosomal RNA", at positions 26 to 518 of the family's 1533-position model. The record is from RNAcentral.